UACGAAGGGGGCUAGCGUUGCUCGGAAUUACUGGGCGUAAAGCGCACGUAGGCGGCUUUGUAAGUUAGAGGUGAAAGCCCAGGGCUUAACCCUGGAAUUGCCUUUAAGACUGCAUCGCUAGAAUUGUGGAGAGGUAAGUGGAAUUCCGAGUGUAGAGGUGAAAUUCGUAGAUAUUCGGAAGAACACCAGUGGCGAAGGCGACUUACUGGACACAUAUUGACGCUGAGGUGCGAAAGCGUGGGGAGCAAACAGG
RNAcentral lists this ribosomal RNA (253 nucleotides) under uncultured bacterium. RNAcentral's name for it is "partial 16S ribosomal RNA". It matches the Rfam family "Bacterial small subunit ribosomal RNA", at positions 524 to 776 of the family's 1533-position model. The record is from RNAcentral.